Long non-coding RNA from Epinephelus moara (kelp grouper), 389 nucleotides. RefSeq lists it as uncharacterized. The transcript is spliced from 3 exons. The record is from RefSeq and is a predicted model, not a curated record. NCBI's taxonomy places the organism in Eukaryota, Metazoa, Chordata, Actinopteri, Perciformes, Serranidae.
CAGCACUGAGUUGGCUUCACACUGGAGACAUUUGGACACAGUGAGACAGUUGGACACAGUGAGACAGUUUCUCUGUUGCAUCAGGACAUUUAACACCGCGGGGACUGUCUCACACACUGUCAGAUGAUGGCGUGACCUCGGAGCUGCAGAGUCGUAGCCGCCUCAGCUGUCAGCGAUGGACGACCUGUGGUGUGUGGCUGUGGGGGUGUUCCAGGUGUGGAUGUUUGUGGUGGUGUUCCUCAUCAUGCUGCCCGCCAUGUUCGGCCUCUCUCUGGGGGUCACCGGGGUCUACAUCCAGAUCCUGGUCCAGAUCCUGGAGUGGGCCACGGUGCGGAUCCAGAGGGGACGCCAGGAGCAGCCCAGUGUGCCCGUGCCUCUGCCCAACGGUG